Molecule: ribosomal RNA, 329 nt
Filed under: Salmonella enterica subsp. enterica serovar Reading
Lineage: Bacteria; Pseudomonadati; Pseudomonadota; Gammaproteobacteria; Enterobacterales; Enterobacteriaceae
Also listed under: 2 other names
Description: bacterial SSU rRNA
Rfam family: Bacterial small subunit ribosomal RNA
Source: RNAcentral
GUCUGGGAAACUGCCUGAUGGAGGGGGAUAACUACUGGAAACGGUGGCUAAUACCGCAUAACGUCGCAAGACCAAAGAGGGGGACCUUCGGGCCUCUUGCCAUCAGAUGUGCCCAGAUGGGAUUAGCUUGUUGGUGAGGUAACGGCUCACCAAGGCGACGAUCCCUAGCUGGUCUGAGAGGAUGACCAGCCACACUGGAACUGAGACACGGUCCAGACUCCUACGGGAGGCAGCAGUGGGGAAUAUUGCACAAUGGGCGCAAGCCUGAUGCAGCCAUGCCGCGUGUAUGAAGAAGGCCUUCGGGUUGUAAAGUACUUUCAGCGGGGAGG